Molecule: long non-coding RNA, 569 nt
Organism: Thunnus maccoyii (southern bluefin tuna)
Lineage: Eukaryota; Metazoa; Chordata; Actinopteri; Scombriformes; Scombridae
Exons: 2
Source: RefSeq, a predicted model, not a curated record
AUAAAUACAUGUGUUCCGUGAAGGCCUCAAAGUUUGUUAGAGAACAUUACUAAACAAACAGCGUCAUGAAGACCAAGGAGCUCACCAAACAGAGCAGCAUUAAGUGCAUCAUUAGAAAAUGGAAAGAACACGGCACGACAGAAAAUCUACCAAGAGAAGGAAGCAGGCCAAGAGAGCAUUAAUCAGAGAAGCAACGACGAGUCCAGUGGUAACUCUGGAGGAGCUGGAAAGAUCUACAGCUCAGGUGGGAGAAUCUGUCCACAGGGCAACUAUUAGUUCUGCACUCCACAAAUCUGGCCUUUAUGGAAGAGUGGCGAGACGAAAGCCAUUAAGAAAUCCUGUUUGGAGUUCACCACAAGCCAUGUGGGAGACACAGCAAACAUGUGGAAGAAGGUUCUCCGGUCAGAUGAGACCAAAAUUGAACUUUUUGGCCUGAAUGCAAAACACCAUGUGUGGCAGAAACAAGGGCUGAACGAUUGUGAAAAAAUAUCUACUUGCGAUUAUUUUGACUGAUAUUGCAAUUGUGAUAUGAUUUGUGAUAUUAGAGGGAUUAAAUUUUUACAUCAUUA